RNAcentral lists this transfer RNA (72 nucleotides) under Ictidomys tridecemlineatus (thirteen-lined ground squirrel). RNAcentral's name for it is "Spermophilus tridecemlineatus (thirteen-lined ground squirrel) tRNA". It matches the Rfam family "tRNA". From Rfam's summary of the family: Transfer RNA (tRNA) molecules are approximately 80 nucleotides in length. Their secondary structure includes four short double-helical elements and three loops (D, anti-codon, and T loops). Further hydrogen bonds mediate the characteristic L-shaped molecular structure. tRNAs have two regions of fundamental functional importance: the anti-codon, which is responsible for specific mRNA codon recognition, and the 3' end, to which the tRNAs corresponding amino acid is attached (by aminoacyl-tRNA synthetases). tRNAs cope with the degeneracy of the genetic code in two manners: having more than one tRNA (with a specific anti-codon) for a particular amino acid; and 'wobble' base-pairing, i.e. permitting non-standard base-pairing at the 3rd anti-codon position. Lineage: Eukaryota; Metazoa; Chordata; Mammalia; Rodentia; Sciuridae. The record is from Rfam by way of RNAcentral.
GGAGGUGUAGCUCAGUGGUAGAGUACUGGUCUAGCAUGUGCAAGGCCCUGGGUUUGAUCCCCAGCACCACCA